RNAcentral lists this long non-coding RNA (16322 nucleotides) under Capsella grandiflora. Its description in RNAcentral is "long non-coding RNA (CGRA_LNC000722)". The record is from RNAcentral. Lineage: Eukaryota; Viridiplantae; Streptophyta; Magnoliopsida; Brassicales; Brassicaceae.
AGCGAAACCUUAAUAUUGAUGAUAAGUAUUGAAGCAGAGUACAUAUAAUACUAUUGAAGACCAAAGCAAUAAGGAACCACAAUAUAUCAUUCUCCAAAAUCGGAUAAAUCAACAUAACUAAACAUAGCGAAUCACACCAAAUUUUCAAAUGAUACGGUUCUAACACUAGUGGUCUCCCAUGAAGAUGCGGUGGUGAUGUUGGAUGAAGAAUCAGUUAUCAGUAAGAAUGUUCCAAGGAUCUCUCAUGGCAUCUCAUCAUCUUCCUCGUUAUGAAGUUGGACUUGUGAAUAUCGAAUCCUCUCCAAUUCCAUUGAGACUUCUCUCAUAUUGGGCCGUUUCUUCACAUUCAAGUUCAGACAACUCCUCGCCAGGUUUGCCACCUCCUCGCCAGGUUUGCCACCUCCCUGACCAAGCACACAGUUUACACUGAGUUUUUCUGUGGCUUUCUUCAAUUCUUCUGAGCUGAACACUCUUGUCCUCUCAAUGUUUCCUUCGUUCGAAAUCAAUUGUUGUUGCAACAAUAGUCCUUCAUUAUGUUAUAAGAUGCUAAAGCUAAUGUAAAAUCAUGAGUUAUAAUAAGUAACUAACCGAAGAAACCUCAUCGGUUGCCUAUUUGGACCACCUUGCCUGCAACGCUGAAACUUCAAACAUUUCAUGCAUCUUAAUUUGUAUAAUUGCAAAAAGUCUACAUAGGUCUCCGUCUUAGUUUGUUUAUUUUGAAUAGUAUAGUCUUCCCUAAUUGAUAUGAGAAGAGCAGAAAUUGAUUGAUUGAAAAUGAACAGUUUGCACAGAUAAAUAAGGUCUGGGCUUUUCACAAUGGGUGGUGAACUGAUUAUCUUUAUCAGGCAAAUCCAUCUUAUUUUCUCUUCUCAUGCUCAUGCGUGUAUACAGUUCACAUUAGUUUCAAAUCAUCUACUUAAAAGAUAUAAGAAUACUACUUAAUAAUACAGACACUCACAGUUUACACGGACUGACACUCUAUAUCACUUUAAGCUCUUUCAGCCAUUCAGUAUGGAGGGGACAUGGAUCUGGUUUCCCUUCUGCAACCGCCUUCUCAGAGAGCGAAUAAAACCAACCAUUCCUCCAUUUAAACUGCAGUAUCAGUAAACUAGUUGAGACACAAGAUACUGGUGUACAAGCAGUUAAACAAGAGAGAUCAUGAUGAAUAUACAUAUCAUAUAUCAUAUAUGUACCUCUUUAACAGCAGUCGGGAAAUGAGAAACAGCUCGCGAGUAAGCACAGAGUCUCUCCACCAUAUUCUCUUCAAAGGUUAGUCCUUUCUCUGCAGCAGCAGCAGCUGCAAGUUCUUGGAUGAGUCUCGAUACCUGAAGGUAUAAAUAAUUAGAACUAAACAGUGAUUUUGAAUGCUAAAACGAAACAAGGAAUUGAAUUUUUGUACUUCAUCUCUAUAUUCUUUCUCCACCAUGCCAACACUUGCACCUGGAUGACGAGCUCCAACAAGCAUAAAUGCACAAAUCCAAAUGAGUUUCUCCAACAUUUGCUUUUGAAAAGCUUCUUUGUCAAGUACCUAACCUCACAAACACCAAAAAAACAAAACAUUUAGUUAAUUCAGGCAGUUGCUGUUUAAUCAAUAUAGAACAAAAGAUAAGCUUCUAGUAAUAACCUUGCAAGAGAGGCCACCAGAUUGCAAUCUUGCAGCUACCUCUGAAGCCCAUUUUCCAUAAGCAGCAGUUAGACCUUCUGGAUUAGUGUCAGUCUUUCCAUCCACUGGAGGUUCGCCGAGUUUUGACACAGCAAAAUAGGCCAAUACUUGGUCUGUAUCACCUAAACCUUUGCUCUCAAACCACGGCUCCAUCAUUCCAUUUUGGAAGAAGACCAAAUCUGAUUACAAACACCAUUUUUAGUAGACGAAGUUCAUGUCAUUGAAGAAACUUAUCAUAUCGUUCACACAUCCAAUCAAAUUUGGUAAUCUGAUAAUUUGAUCCUUACAAAUUCGGAUACAAUGUAGACUGAGCUCUGCCACGAUCGAACCCUUAAAACAUCUAACAAUUUGGUUCAGUAAACGAUUCUAAGUGCGUACGAAAGUUUCUACCUUUCCAUCUAGACGGAGGAGUAGCUUCAAGAACAGCAUCGAGAUCAUCAUUCCUAGUACAAACCAAAAUGGGUCCAUCAAAAUCAACCGGAACUGCUUCUCCUCUCUUCACCAACAAAUCCUCGCCAUUACCCAUUUCCUGUAACGCUCGUCCGACUCUUCCGCCACCCACAAUAACGGCUGGAGCCAGCUUUUUAGCGGUUGCAGCAGAUGCAGCCAUAGCCAUUGGGACGGAUAAUCUCACACUCCGAAGUGAGGGUUUAAUGGAUUCAGAGUGUCGGAGGAGAGAGAAACGAGCUGAAGCGGAGCAGGAAACAGCAAACAGAGUACUGCUGGCUUUAGCCAUGAUGACGAUAAUGGGCUUCGACGACGUUGUGGCCUCUCAUGGUGUGGACUAUUUUGGAACAGUAAUAGCCACUCGAUGGUUUGAGGCUCUUGCUUAUCGGUUUUGGAUGAGUCACGAGGAUAAAACGGCAUGACGUUAAAUAAAUUAAAAGCAAAACAGCAGGUAGUUGAUACUGUACGUGUUUGAAAGUUGUAACACAGUUCCCGCUGAGCCUCAAUCCAAUCAUCAACCUUCAGUUUCCCGACAAAGGAAACGACAAAAAGAUAAAUCAAAAUCCCACUAUUAUUUAUAGUGACCGUUGGGUCCUUGUAAAAUAGAGAAAAGGCAAAACAAAACACACACAUCUAAAAUCCUCUGUGUUAAGACAAGUAAAGAAGUCCAUCUGUGUCUUUGGCUUUGUGCUCGCACAAUCCCCAAUGGCUUAUUCAAAUUCAAAUGGAAACAUUGUGGAACUUUUAUAAAACGUUAGUUUCAGGUCAAACCUAACCCAACACCAUUGUCAAACACCUAUUUCUAGAAUUUAUCUUCAAAAUCUAUAAAGAUAUAAAAACACUUAGCUCACGGAAAGCUCUGAACUUGAAAGCAACCCAAAAAGGGAAAGGAAAAACAUGGCUGGUUCAAGCAAAGAGAAUGAUUUGUUGGGUGAAAACAAAGAAAAUGUGGACACAUUCUCAGGUUCUGUCUCCGUUAAGAAAGGAGAGAAUAAAGAGAAUGUCUCGCCGGAAAAAAGCUCGACGUCUGUUGAAACUCGGAAACAAGAUCGAGCUUUGAAGUCUCAAUCGAUGAAGGACAGUUCUGGGUUUCCCACGGAAGUUACAAAUUUCAAGUCUUUCUCAACUGGUGGCCGAACGGCUCUGAAGCAGACAUCGCUGCAAGCAUGUAUGCAGAUGAACAGUGAGGUCGAUAAGGGUAGCUUUGGAAUGAAAACUUGGACUAGUGUUGAUUCGGAGCAUUCCAGUUCGUUGAAAGUGUGGGAGUUUUCUGAUUCCGAAGCUGCCCCUGCUUCCUCUUGGUCUACUUUGCCCAACAGGUAAAAACAUUCCAAUUACCGAAAUUCUUAUGCUUUUCUUGUCCGAAACAUGUCUGAAACUAGAUAUACAAUUUGUUAAACAGGGCGUUGUUGUGUAAGACACUACCUUUGGAUGUGGGUAGAUGCACUUGUCUACUUGUUAAAGAACAAUCACCAGAAGGCUUACGCGAUGGAUCUGUAUAUUCUCUUUAUACACAUGUAAGUAUACUGAUAUCUUAACUAAUAUGAUGUUGUUUGAGAAGUGACAAGCAGUGAUGUCAAAACGUUCUGAUAGCUUACAAGUGUUGGAUGAAAUAUUUCAGGAAGGUCGGGGGCGAAAAGACCGGAAGCUGGCAAUGGCUUACCAUCGGCGGCGUCACGGGAAAUCUGUAUUUAGGGUGGCACAGAAUGUUAAGGGAUUAUUGUGCAGUUCGGAUGAAAGUUAUGUAGGUUCUAUGACGGCUAAUCUCAUGGGUUCCAAGUACUACAUAUGGGAUAAGGUUCUUGCUCACUAGUAUAAUCAGUCAAAUCUGAUAUAUUCUCUGUGCUUCUGCUCAAAGGUUUGGGAUUCAAGCUGAAUGUUUCUGGUCUUGUGAUUCCAUUGCAGGGAGUUCGAGUUAGUCCUGUAGGUAAAUUGGUGAAGCCGCUUCUUUCGGUUGUAAUGUGAGCUUUGGGGAUUUUAUGUUUUGUGUCUUUUGACAAUGACUCUCCCUUUAUGUUUGGUCUGCUAAUGCCAAUGUUGGUUUCUGCAGAUUUACACCCACCAUAGCUACUUGGACAGGGACCUACAGAAGGAUGAGAGCUAUCCUACCAAAGCAGCAGCCAGUGCAGAAGAACAACAAUAAGCAGGUAAAUGCCUAGUCUUAAAACUUCUCUCUAUCAAUCUAGCAUUCCGAAACAUACAACUGUUAAUACACUACAUUUGUAUCUCUUAUUAUAGGUCCAACAGGUAAGUAAACUACCACUUGAUUGGCUUGAGAAUAAGGAACAAGUUCAGAAGCUAUGCUCAAAGAUACCACAUUACAACAAAGUAAGUCCCAUAGGGCUUCAUUGUUAUCAUCUUCCAUUUACAGAAGCUUAGAUUGAUGAUACUGUUUCCCUAUCUUCAGAUCACCAAACAGCAUGAGUUAGACUUCAGAGACAGAGGACGAACAGGACUGAGAAUACAAAGCUCGGUGAAGAACUUUCAGCUCACACUUACGGUACGUUUCCACAACUUCUUUUAGCUAUUAUUCAAAACCAAUCUCUCAAGAAUCCUAAAACCCUGAGUAACUUGGCUUAUAGGAAAAUCCCAGGCAAACAAUUAUUCAAAUGGGAAGGGUGGACAAAGCAAAAUAUGUAAUCGAUUUCAGGUACUUGCUCAGUUGCUCGAACCCGGAUGAGAUGAACAUUCCAUACUUUUUAGCUUCAGAUUAAGGCUUUAGAGAUCAAAGAUUUAGUGGAUCAUACAACAACCUUUGCUUUAUAUGUUUGCAGGUAUCCAUUCUCGGGCUACCAAGCAUUCUGCAUUUGCUUGGCUUCCAUUGAUUCCAAGCUUUGUUGUACUGUUUGAUCACUAUAAAGUAGACGAGUUCAAUCUCUGAACAUCCCUCCAAUGAUCAUCAUCAUCUGUAAUUCCUAUCUUUUCUAGAUAAUCAAUAUUUCAAUCUGAGUUUCACAAACUACUUCAGUGCCUACCUCUCAAAUCAAAAUCACCCAAAAGAAAACUGAUACUGGAGAACUGUUAAAAAGAUUCAUACUUUAUUAUAUAAGACUGUCACAAGAAAGAAUAAUCGAUGUGUCAAUGUUGGUUUCCACAACCGAGAUUCCAAAAGAAAAAAAUAACUAAAAACAAAACUUAUCAAAUCCUUCUUCUUUAUCUUAUCAGAAGUAAUACUUUUUUAGCAAUCAUGUAACUCACUGUAGAAAUCAGGCGUAAGGAACGAAUCUAAAUCACCGAAGAUCACAUCAUCUUCCUCCGUCGUUAACUUGCCGGAGUUUUGACAGCCAAAAUACGUCUGUAUAUCUUCCGGGAAGCUUCGGCGAGGAGGAGCAAUCUCCGGAGGCGUCGAUGGUCCGACCAACUCUUCUGCAUUCAAAGGUGAAGACUUUAAGAGCUUUGUUUUCCGAUCAUCGUUGUCGUCUGACGAUGAUUGGCUCUGUGAUAACUCCGACUCGUGAUUUGGGCUGAGAUCAGACCGCGGGAUCUCCAGGGGAUGCUUGGCGGAGUCAGUAAGGUUCUCCGGCGCCGGGAGUUUUAGAUAACGGCUGAUAUCGAAGUUAGUAACGGCGUUAAGUCCACGAUACUCAAUUGCUGCUAUAUCAUACGCUAUGGCCGCUUCCUCUUGUGUAGCUACGCAAAACAUCAAGGGGUGCAAAAUGUCACAAACAAAACCUUGAGGAGGUAAAACAUAAUUUAUGGACUUAUUAGAUUACGCCUAAACUAUUAUGUAUUCGCGCAAUACGUAACGUAACAUUAUCAUGCGGUAAUUCAAUAAUCACAUUAUAAUUAUUUUAAAAAAUAAAAUAAAAAAAUCCGCUGAUAUAGGACAACAUAAUAAAUAGAAUUAAAUUGGCCAGUAAAAUUAGAUGAGCAACAUAUAAUUUAAACCAAUAAAUAUUAUUGAUGUAUGAUAACAUAAGAGAAAAGAAAGAAAAGAACAAUAUAAUAAAUAGAAGGCUUGACUAAGUGGUUGGGUUUGGUGAUCUAUUUCCCAACUAACACAAGAUCUGAUUACGUGCAUAUCAACCCCUAUUAAAAAGAUUUCUAAGUUGUAAAAAGAAGUUUUGUUAUUAUGAAGAGUGUGUGUAAUAUAUCUUUUAAUGUAUGAUAUUUUGUCUUGGAUAUCUAUAAUUUAAAGUAUUUAAAUAUGUAAACUUUCUUUUUUUUUGUUUUGUUUUAGUUAAGGGGAAAAAGGUUACCGUAGGUGCCAAGGUAUAAAUACUUAUUGCCAAAGACUCUUCCAAUUCGAGCUUCCCAUCUUCCAUUAUGGUGAUGCCUGCAAUGAAUCCAUAAUAACCAAUUUUAGUUAGCAUUGAGAAUUAUUAGUGUACGUAUUUGAUGAUAUUGUUAAAUUUUCUAAUACUACUAAAUAUGUUUGUUUAUGGAGGAGGAUUCAAAGUUUACUUUGCAACGCCUCUGUAUUUUGACACACCACGUGAAAACCCACUGCUUUUCCUGUUUUACUCCAAAAAUAAUUUUAUAUUAAUCAACUCUUAAAGUUUGUUAAACAAAAAGAAAUGAGUUAAUCACCAAUCAUUCAAAAAAGAAAAAACCAAUAACUGAAUUAAUAAUUACCUUCUCAAAGAUCCAAUAUACUCUUCCUUUGACUGGCUUUCCAUUUCUUUCAUGUCUUCUUCAUAAUUACACAACUAUAAAUAUAUACAAACAAACACACCAAAAUUAUAAAACUUAGAAAAUGUGAUAGCUGUAGAUGUAUGUAAUGCAAUGUAAUGUAAUAAACACUCUUCUUAAUUCCUUUUUUUUUUCUUAUGUAAAAACACGUAGGUAAGAAAAGAUCGUGAAUCAAACAAAAAGAUCAUGUGAAAAAAAAAGAAAAGAUAACUUAUAUAUAGAUUAUAGAUUCCGAGAAAAAUUACAGGGAAAUUCAAGAUGGUGUCUCGUCCCCAAUAUUUCAAUGCUGCUAAGUCGUAGGCACGUGCUGCUGCAUCUUCCUCGUCAUAUGCCCCUGCUCAAACAAAAAUAAAACCCCCAUUUUAUUACUGUUUUUACAAAUUUUCAUUUUUAUUCCGUUACAUAUAUAUGUCAGUUAGUUGUGUAUAAUGUAAGGACUUUAUAAAAAAGGCAAAUCAAAUAGUACUUUCUUCAGUAAUCAGAUUAUUUGUUUGUUUUAUUUCACGCCAUAGAUUAGAUGAUGCUAACAUGUACGCUUUUAUUAUAUAGAUUUUUUUGAACCACCAAGUUGGCUUUUAAAAAGCACUGAUAAAAAAUUAACGUUCUAAAAAUUAAAGCAUAAUUAAGAGUGAGGUAACUAAGGCAUCAACAUUCACUAAAUAAAAAGUAUAGUAGUGUCUACCAAUUUGGGAGUGCAAAAAGAAAAGAAAGAAAACGCCAUAUGUAAAAUGACCAACAAAAAACUCACCUAAAUAUACUGCACGUGAUGAGUCAGCCAAUUUUCCGGUCAGCAUCGUCAGAACAACCACACACAAAAAAAAAACAUAUUAACAACAACAAAAACUAAAAUAUACAAAUCAAAAUGUUGAAAUAAAGAACAGUAACGACGAACUCAUUCAUUUCUCCGGAGAAAUCGGAGUGAAAAGAUCAUAGCGAAUAUAUAUAUCAUCAUCAAUCUUUUAAUAAAUAAAUAACUCUUCAUAAAAUAUGAAAUAUAGAGAGACCUUGUCGUCCUUUCUUGGUCUGAGUAUCGUUCCAACUAUUCUUGUCCCACAAAUGUGCUUCGUACCUUCCUGUCCAUCUAUGCCUAUAUAAUCGGAAAAAGGCAUAUUCAAAACCCUGACGUUUUUUAUUUUUUUAAUUGAGUGUGUGUGUGUAUUGUUUCUCUCAAUGAUGGCUGCAAACCUGGUGACUCCUCUAUGGACGGAGCUGCGUUGUGGAGGAGCUUCUCGUGGUUGCGAUCGGCGUUUGCGUUUUGCCUUUAUCACCACUUGCCCUGCUGUCUCAUCCCCUGUUUCAUUCUCAACCAAUGUUUUCUUGCUCCUCCGUGUGAUCUCUUCCAUGACCGGAGAUACUUCGACGGCGAUGUACAUAUAUCAAGAAGAGAAACACAAGAAAGAUGAGAAACUUAUGAUGAAUGGAGUUUGUUUUUUUUUUUUUCUAUAUAUAAGGAGAGACUCACUGACUGUCUGACUGACUAUAAAGAGAAAUGGUUGAGUACAUUAUUAUUUAAAUUAAAAAAAAAAAGUUUCCGUUUAUUUAAUUUCAAAAAUUGUUUAGCUUUAAAAGAUGAUUUUCCAUAGCUACGGCCCUCUUUGUACUCCUUGUGUAAUUUUAGAUUUUUCUCAUUAAAUUUAAAUUCCUAAUCUCUUGUACCUGAAUUAAGUGAUUUAGCUUUGAAUUAAAAAAGUUUAAACUGAGACACAAAUGAGGAAUUGACAUGUGGAGGUUUGGGAUCCGCUUAGCCAAAAAAAAAAAACUUGGAGAAAGUAGGCAAGCAAAAUCGGAGCUCCAUAAUUUCUCGUCUUCUUGGUUGAUCUACUUUUUGGUCGGGCCGUGUUUUAUAAUAAUAAGUAGUAUAUAUUAAUAAUGCUAUGCUAAAAGACACACUACCUUCUUCUUCUUUUUUUCUUUUUUUCAUUCCAUAAUAUAAUUAUGUCCUUCCAAGAAAUUUAGCAUUUGAUUGAAAUCUUUGAUUAAAUUGUAAAAUAUGCACCCCACAAAAAAAAAAAACCUAAGAUAUGCAGAACUAUAUAUUUUACAUGUUUAUGCAGAGACGUGUGUUUUCCUUGCAAGAUAUAAAGGCAAUAUAUAUAUAUAGCCUUAAACCUCCAAACACAAAAACAAGAAAAGUGAUCAUCCCACAAUGUAAAAGGCAACCCUUUUCAUUUCAACAUUUGAUACUUAAGUUUCAUAGCAAAUAGAAAAGAAAGAAAGUGAUCAACCCAACAAUACUAAAACUUUCAAAUCAUAAUAUGUGAAAAUAAAUACUACAUAGUGUUAGCCGUGUAGCUAUUUUCUUUACGUGUAUUAUAACGUAAUAGAGAUUUUACGAGUGCGUUAUUCUAGUAAGUUUAAGACAGUUUUUUCUUAAUAUCAUUUCUAUUGAAUUACAAGUUGUAAUUUAAUGGGUGUACCUGCCCCUUAAUUAGAUGGGAGCAAAUGUCAACACUUAUGGUAAAAUUUGUCUACAAGAGUCCAAUCUAAAACGGGCCACAUGAUACAUUGAGUGUUAAGAAAUGCAAUGAAUCACCAACUUAAUUAAGUGAUACACUUGACAAAUUACAUGUUUGAAACCUAAUGAGAUUCUGAAUUCCAUACUAAUAGAUGAAGUAUUAAUACAAAUUAUAUUUUGAACGGGUGAUGAGGCUAGCUUUCCUAUAGAAAUGACGAUGUAAUCAUAAGUAAAACCCUGUUUUAAAAGUUUUCCACAUAUUUAGAUCGUCCCCUUACUCUUAACUAGUAACUAGUAUUAUAUUUGCAUUGCUCUAAUGCUCUCACAUAUUCAACAAAUGAACUUCAUAAAUAUAACUACGUUUAGUGCUAUUGUAUAUUAUAAAAUCUUGUUUUAACAUUGUCGACAAAGUUGAAACCAAAUAAUUUGUUUUCUUCUGUUGUCCCUUGAGGGGAAAAAAGAAGAGAAAAUGAUGCGUGAGAGAUGGAUGACUAAAUGCAAGCAGUGGUCACCUUUUCGGGUAUGCCAUCUUUUUACGGCGUUGGUCCAUCUUUCAGAGCUCUCACUUGGCAGCAUUUAACCAUUUUACGUGUCCCAACUGAGUCCCUGUCACCCAAUAACCACACGCCACAUCACCCCGACAGAGUCUGGCCAUAGUAGAUGUCCCGUACAGUCAAACACUGUGCUUGGCAUUGUGUACAAUAAUAUUGCGUAGGACAAAUUUCUCUGUAUUUUUUGUUUAUGUUCUUGUUAUCAUUUGCAUUUCGCCAAAGUAUGUAUAAUCUUGUCUCUCAAGUCUGUGAUCGUUCGGUUGACGUUAAAAUUUUGCAAUUGCAAUUCUUGAACACUUGAUUCUAUGUGGGAAAAUAAGAAAUUUUUGUUCAAGUUGACAAAAAAAUCCAAGCCCUAUUGUUGUCUCUCAAUCUAGCAAUCAAGUCAAAACAAAACGAAACUCAUUCUGCAGAUCCCCAGGGAUUGAUCUAUUCUAGGCUAACUUCAAAUUCUUGUGUUUCCUGAGAUAUAACAUCAAACUCAAGGAGAAAAUUUGCCCAACAAUGUAGCCUCCUAUAGCUCCAUAACACACACAUAUAGGCCACUCCUGUUUAAAAAUAAUGAUAGAAGGAUUAGUUUCUCUUAUAAAUGUACUCAGCAAGAACCAAGAACCAAUGUCUUAAUUGUAUAUUGAGGUAAAUGGACAUUACCUGCCAUGGCCUUUCCCAGUCAAGUGGCAUAGGCCAAGCUCCAAACCAUCCUCCAAUAAUUGCUCCAUAUGUUGGAAUCAAGAUCAUAUAUUCUACGUUUCUGGUUGGUCUAAAAGAAACAGAAAGAUAGAUUAACAACAGAUAUUGUGUGAAAUCAUAUAAGGUAACACCGACAACUUACUUUAGUGAAGCGAACACGCGAUGCCAAUUUGUCCAUGAUGCACCAAAAACUGCAGUUGCUGGUACAAUCUAUGAAAAUCAAAAUUGUUAGAUACCAUCAACGGAUUGUUCCAAACUGCAGAUAUACACACAAAUGUAGUGUAUCAACAUCGUUACAUGUUUGAAGUCAUUGAAAGCAAAGCAGGCAACUAACCGUGAAAACAGACAUUAGAAAGGACCAGUGUAUUGUUUUUGGUAGAGAUCUGCAUAAGAUGAGAAAAGCUAAUGCUCAUUUCAGCAGUUGAAAAUCAGGUAACCGCUUAGUAAAAAUGUGAUCACAAUCACCACCCAGGGGCCUCAUUUGUAAUCUGGACCGCUUUACAAACAACAUUUCCAGAAUAAGAAAGAAACCAAAAGAUUAAGAGAAACAAGAUCAUUGAUGAAACAUACUGCAGUCCAAUAGGUGCACCCAAAGAAACUGCUCCCAAAGCAUUUAUGAGAGCCCCUGUUAAACAACAAAACACACAAGUUUAGAAAAGUCACAAACUCACAAUCAAGGGAUAACGAAUCGGCAAGAGGCAAAAGAAGGUAAUACUCAUUCACAUCGUCAGGCCAAGAUUAACACUUCUGAAUUUUAAACUGAACUCAUCCAGCAAUUAACUUAUUUGAAAAAGUAGUGUGCUAUAAUAAGCUGAAAAACAAGAUUACUAACCGGAAAUUAGUCCUAUUAUGCUUCGCCCAAUAGCUCUAACGUACUGGAAAGCAAUGAGGAAUAAAUAAUUCAGAGAGUCAAAAACAUAGGAAACCAAAAUCUUCUCUAUAUGAAAUAAAAAAAGUGAUGAUACUUGGGUUGCUUUGUCGAUUUCUAUAAAAAAGGGAAAUGAACCAAGCACAAAGCAAUCGAGCUAAACGAGAAAGCCAGCUUCUUUUUAAUCACAGAGAACGCGGAGAUGAAGUACACUCACCGAGCAUUUCUCUGGGUUUAUUCUGAACAAGCUGUAAGUGACUACCACGAUCGGGAACUCAAUAAUCUGAAAUUUAACAUAAUUUAGCUGAAACCCACACACACACUAACACAUUUUAUAACCAGGUUGUAAAAGAAAGUUUUAGUACCCAUAGGAGACGCAGAGUGAGAGAUGGAUCAGAAACGAGAUCGACGGAGUACUUUUCACGGACCACCCAGAACCCGACGGCCAGAAACAAACCAGUGAUCAAAUAAACAAGAAAAGCCCCCGAAGCUGAUAUCGACACACCUGGCUUCUUCCUCUUCAUCGCUUCUUUCAUAGCUUUCUCUUCUGGGGUCUUUCGAAAUCGGGAACGAGUGAAGAAGACGCAGAAAUAUAUUGGGCUUUUAUUCUAUAUAUGACCCUUACACUAAUGGGCUUUAUUAGGCCCACGGAUUUUUUUGGUAAGCGGUGGCCGGAGUUAAUUAUGUAUGUAUGUAUGUGCCGGCGAAUCCAGAAGUCUCUGGUAGAUUAGCGGGACUUCCCCAUCUUUCCACAUUCCCGUGGGAGCUUAUCUCUCGAAAUGUCUCGUUUCUCUCCUCGGGUUCAUAUAUAUAGCUGCUUCCACCUGUUCAAAUUCUUCAUCAAGCAGAUAAACAAACAAUUACACAUCAAAGAAAUCGAUAAAAACCUACCUUUUCUAAUUCAGCGAAAUCUUCAAUUUUACUGAAGCUUAUUUUUAGCAAACAAUGGCGACUAAAUCAGAUAAAGCUAUUGGCAUCGAUCUCGGCACUACAUACAGCUGUGUCGGAGUUUGGAUGAACGACCGUGUGGAGAUCAUCCCUAACGAUCAGGGGAACCGCACGACACCGUCGUACGUCGCAUUCACUGACACCGAGCGGAUGAUCGGAGACGCGGCGAAGAAUCAAGUUGCGUUGAACCCUCAGAACACUGUCUUCGAUGCGAAACGUCUCAUCGGAAGGAGAUUCACUGAUCCUUCUGUACAGAGUGAUAUGCGACACUGGCCGUUCAAGGUUGUUUCCGGUCCUGGAGACAAGCCCAUGAUUGUCGUCUCGUACAAGAACGAAGAGAAGCAGUUUUCUCCUGAGGAGAUAUCUUCCAUGGUGUUGGUGAAGAUGAGGGAAGUCGCUGAGUCUUUCCUUGGUCACGCUGUUAAUAACGCUGUUGUGACUGUUCCUGCUUACUUCAACGACUCACAGAGACAGGCUACCAAGGACGCCGGAGCUAUCUCUGGGCUUAAUGUUCUGCGGAUUAUCAAUGAACCGACUGCAGCGGCUAUAGCUUACGGUCUGGAUAAGAAGGGCACGAAGACUGGUGAGAGGAACGUUUUGAUUUUCGAUCUCGGGGGUGGAACCUUUGAUGUUUCGCUCUUGACGAUUGAAGAAGGCGUUUUUGAAGUGAAAGCCACCGCUGGAGAUACUCAUCUUGGAGGUGAAGACUUUGACAACAGACUCGUGAACCAUUUCGCUGCGGAGUUCAGGAGGAAACACAAGAAGGAUAUUGCUGGGAAUGCGAGGGCUCUUAGGAGGCUGAGGACGGCUUGUGAGAGGGCAAAGAGAACGCUUUCUUCCACAGCCCAGACAACUAUUGAGAUUGAUUCUUUGCACGAGGGUAUCGACUUCUAUGCGACCAUCUCACGUGCCAGGUUUGAGGAGAUGAACAUGGAUUUGUUCAGGAAAUGUAUGGAUCCUGUGGAGAAAGUUCUUAAAGACGCCAGGCUUGACAAGGCCCGUGUGCACGAGGUGGUUCUUGUCGGAGGAUCUACAAGGAUUCCGAAAAUUCAACAGCUUUUGCAAGACUUCUUUAACGGGAAGGAGCUAUGCAAGAGCAUUAACCCUGAUGAAGCCGUUGCUUAUGGAGCUGCGGUUCAGGCUGCUAUCCUGACUGGUGAAGGAAGCGACAAGGUUCAAGAUCUCUUGCUUCUUGAUGUUGCACCGCUAAGCCUUGGAAUUGAGACAGCAGGUGGGGUGAUGACUGUGUUAAUUCCGAGGAACACCACGGUUCCUUGUAAGAAGGAGCAAGUGUUCUCCACGUAUUCGGACAAUCAGCCAGGCGUUCUGAUCCAAGUCUUUGAAGGGGAACGGGCAAGGACCAAAGACAACAACCUUCUUGGUACCUUUGAGCUCAAGGGCAUUCCUCCUGCCCCACGUGGAGUUCCUCAAAUCAAUGUUUGCUUUGACAUCGAUGCAAAUGGGAUCUUAAAUGUGUCGGCGGAGGACAAAACCGCUGGUGUAAAGAACCAGAUCACAAUCACGAACGAUAAAGGAAGGUUGAGUAAAGAGGAGAUUGAGAAGAUGGUGCAAGACGCUGAGAAGUAUAAGGCUGAGGAUGAGCAAGUGAAGAAGAAGGUCGAGGCCAAGAACUCACUGGAGAACUAUGCCUACAACAUGAGAAACACUAUUAAGGAUGAGAAGCUCGCCCAGAAGCUAGAGCAAGAGGAUAAGCAGAAGAUAGAGAAGGCAAUCGAUGAGACAAUCGAAUGGAUUGAAGGAAACCAGCUGGCAGAAGUUGAUGAGUUCGAGUAUAAGUUGAAAGAGCUAGAGGGUAUUUGCAACCCAAUAAUCUCAAAAAUGUAUCAGGGUAGUGCUGGUGCCGGAGGUCCCACAGGGGGCAUGCCAACAGAUGGUGGCUUUGGUGGUUCCAGUGGUGCUGGAGGUCCAAAGAUCGAAGAGGUGGACUAGAACGUAUGCAGAGUGCAGAGUGCAGAGUGCAAUAAGUGGUUAUGCGCCAUUGGAGUCUUUCUUUGUAUUGUACUAUUAUCUGAGAGUUUUAAGAGUGUUCAUAGGUGUGCUGCUAGAUACACCACUGAAAGUAAUUUAGUUGUAUGCUAUACACGUUUCUGUAUUUCGAGUAAUAAAGAAAGUUUUCUUUUCUCAGGAGUGUGGCUACUGUUCCAUUGACAGUUCUACAUGAAAUUUGUGCAGUAUUUGUUGCACAAACACAACUCUCUAUAAAUAUGUUCUCUAUGAAUAUGUUCAUUGAGAGUUCUCAUCUAACACAUAUGCUUAAGGAAGUGUGUUGAUAACGAUAGAUUUCCUUUGCUUGUUGGAUUUGUCUUUGUCCUGAUAAAGGAAGAGUCAGAACAGAGAAUUUUGAACUUUCUGUGUCAGAAGGAAAGAAUGUUUGAUCCCUAACUUGUCACUUCAGAACAUGUUCUGUCUUGGCCCCACCCACAGAUAUAUAUAUACACAUUCUAUCUUCAUAACAGUCACAUCUCAAAUCCACAAAGCUCAGACAAGCAAUGGAGAGAGGAUCUGUUGCAUUGUUAUUCCUUUUCCUCUUCUUUCUCUGCUUCCCCUUCUCAUCAGAUUCCCAGAAAGUCAAUCCAUCCACGAGCUUACUCAUCCAAGAACAAGCCCAUGGUGCUCUGUUUUAAGCAGAUAUUGUUUCUCUUAUAUUAAUAUGACCAGAGAAGUUAAGCAUCACUAACUUGUGUUUGUCCUUUUUAUAGAAGAAGUUACAAUCAAAGACAUAAAAGGAGAAGAAGAUGACAAAAGCAUUGACAUCUUUCGGGCAGGGAAAGGAAGUCAUGGAGUUGCAGGUGGAAGAGGCGGAGGGCGGAAAGCAUCUCCAAAAAAAGGUAAUGCCACCAUGGACCAUCAGCCAGCGUUGUUCUUCUCCGCUGCAUCCGUUCUAUUCACUGGUUUUAUAAUGUUUUCAUUACCUUCUUUCGACAUGUCAAUAAGAUUCUGUUGUGCCUAAACAAAUGUCUUAACCUGAGAGUGAACAUAUGUACUAAAUAUUGUAAACUUUUGAAAAAUCUAUUGGAAAGAAAAUGGAGUAACACUUGUAUAGUACUAAUAGUUAGGAGUGGGUACAUUCAACCAAACCGAGAAUAAAGAACCACGAAAAAGAUGCUUUCCUACGCACAAAACAAAAAAAAUUUGUUUGCACUCUGAUCGAAAGUGGAAUCGUUGUUACAUACCUACAGGCCAACCAAGAACACAAUUUACUUCCCACAACAAAAUUAAUGGCUGAGAGAGGACUCAUUACUUCUUCUGAGCUAUUGUUCGCUUACUACAUGAAACUAAAAGGAACCUCUUCCCAAAACUAAAGAAGAAAGAACACAAAACUUAGUCCAUCAAGAAUGCUCCGCUGCAAUACCUGAUUCAGUCCCAGCACUUUUUGUCAGAAAAGUCAUGAAUUUGUUUCCAAGGCAGAGUAUUUGGUUGGUAAGUAGCAAUACCUGUUGCUGAAUCUUCCAACAGUAUCUGUGGUUUCAAGAAGAGUGUCGCUGCCUUUCUCCAAAGCCAUAUAAAGCUCUUUGCCUCUGGUCACACGGGCAAUCACCCAUGCGUUGUUCUUAGUUCUGAUGCAUAUUUCGAUGUCUUUCUCCUGCCUUUUCACACGGUUUUUUUCUAAAUCCACUUCUUCUCUAAGCUUGUUUAGUGCAAGUAGAGACUCCUGUGUUUUCAGAAUUCACACACUUUUGAGUCCAAGGUGGUAGUAUUCAGCUAGUAAACCAUAAAAACUGAAAGACGUUACCUUUGCAAGCGUUGCUACUUUUCCUGUAGGAGACGCUCUGGAAACUUCCAUGUCAUUAUCAACUACUAAGUAACGAUAUCCUUUAAUAUGGUAAGCAUUUUUACCGACCCACCCUUUUGAAAUCUUCUCUUCAAUUUUCCAAAUUCUCAGUGAUGCCUGGAAAAGAGAUAUUGGGUAUAUAUUAGAAUACACCCACAAACGAUAUUCACCAUGAAAAAUCGAUGGGUGAUGUGCUAACAUCUUCAAUAACUUGUUGUUUCACGGCUGAGACGUUUAGAUCUCCAUUGACAAUGGCAUUUAUAGGCAUGAGAAGA